RNAcentral lists this ribosomal RNA (410 nucleotides) under uncultured Citrobacter sp. Its description in RNAcentral is "bacterial SSU rRNA". It matches the Rfam family "Bacterial small subunit ribosomal RNA", at positions 984 to 1393 of the family's 1533-position model. Lineage: Bacteria; Pseudomonadati; Pseudomonadota; Gammaproteobacteria; Enterobacterales; Enterobacteriaceae. The record is from RNAcentral.
UCGGCCAAGCACUUUGGAAGAGAUGCCUUGGUGCCUUCGGGAACUCGUGAGACAGGUGCUGCAUGGCUGUCGUCAGCUCGUGUUGUGAAAUGUUGGGUUAAGUCCCGCAACGAGCGCAACCCUUAUCCUUUGUUGCCAGCGGUCCGGCCGGGAACUCAAAGGAGACUGCCAGUGAUAAACUGGAGGAAGGUGGGGAUGACGUCAAGUCAUCAUGGCCCUUACGACCAGGGCUACACACGUGCUACAAUGGCAUAUACAAAGAGAAGCGACCUCGCGAGAGCAAGCGGACCUCAUAAAGUAUGUCGUAGUCCGGAUUGGAGUCUGCAACUCGACUCCAUGAAGUCGGAAUCGCUAGUAAUCGUGGAUCAGAAUGCCACGGUGAAUACGUUCCCGGGUCUUGUACACACCGA